GUAAGGCUUGUUGCCUUCUGAUCAUCUU
RNAcentral lists this small RNA (28 nucleotides) under Bombyx mori (domestic silkworm). RNAcentral's name for it is "ovarian small RNA-17613". Lineage: Eukaryota; Metazoa; Arthropoda; Insecta; Lepidoptera; Bombycidae. The record is from RNAcentral.